This 72-nucleotide transfer RNA is filed under the name Camelus bactrianus (Bactrian camel). It matches the Rfam family "tRNA". Rfam says of the family: Transfer RNA (tRNA) molecules are approximately 80 nucleotides in length. Their secondary structure includes four short double-helical elements and three loops (D, anti-codon, and T loops). RNAcentral also lists the same sequence under 2 other names. Lineage: Eukaryota; Metazoa; Chordata; Mammalia; Artiodactyla; Camelidae. The record is from Rfam by way of RNAcentral.
GAGGGUAGAGCUCAGUGGUAGAGCACGUGCUUAGCAUGCACAGGGUCCUGGGUUCAAUCCCCAGUACCUCUG